Scylla paramamosain (green mud crab) is the source of this 650-nucleotide long non-coding RNA. RefSeq lists it as uncharacterized. NCBI's taxonomy places the organism in Eukaryota, Metazoa, Arthropoda, Malacostraca, Decapoda, Portunidae. The record is from RefSeq and is a predicted model, not a curated record. The transcript is spliced from 4 exons.
GUAAUGAUAAUUUGAGAGGCACUGUCAAAGGGAAGCAUGUGAAGAGCCCUUUAACUGAUUAUUAACUAAGAUUGUAAGCUGUGAAAAGCACAAAUUUGAAAACAAUGAAUAAAUAAUGGAGAAAUGUGCUUAAAUUAUGGAUUAUAAGUGUAUCAGUGAGUGAACACACCACCACCCACGCACCCACCACCAUGUAGUGGGAGCCCAGGGUUCGGUUGGUCAAGCAGUCUGCCCUUGUGGUCUGUGGGGAGAAGACUUGCGUGUCGUGCUGCUCUCAUCCUGCCGGUACCUUUGCUAUUAAGUCAUUGGUGUGGUAACUGUGACCUGCCCUGACCUGCCUGUGACCUGCCCUGACCUGCCUGUGACCUGCUAUUAACCUGCUUUUGACCUGCCUUGACUUGCUCUGACACACAUGGUGAACCGAGACCUUCCGAGACCUUCCAAGACCUUCCAAAAUCUGCCGUGACCCACAGAUGAAGAUAUAUAGAUUUAAGAAGUGCGAUGAUGCGAGACAGACAGACAGACAGACAGGUGUGGGAUGAGUGCUGGCAUACUGAAGGUCAAGAGGUCAAGAGGUCAAGAGUCACGUGUUGAGUCGUAUGGGUCACCAGACAGGUCACCCACCUAACCCCACUCGGCCUGUCAGUUCA